Molecule: non-coding RNA, 26 nt
Filed under: Mus musculus (house mouse)
Lineage: Eukaryota; Metazoa; Chordata; Mammalia; Rodentia; Muridae
Also listed under: 9 other names
Source: RNAcentral
UAGGUGAACCUGCGGAAGGAUCAUUC